CAGCACCGGGCCAAGCCGUGGUUUAGACACCCGGUUCACAAUGAUCAAUGGAGCUAUGGAAACAGCAGACAUCGCGCCGGAGCCUGCUGGCCUCCCAUCUGGAGCCUCACAGACACUGAAGGCUAUGAAAGCUGUAGUACUGUGGAGACGAAAAGGACAUAUGGCAAUCACCUCAUUUGUCUCCUUCCUCCAAAGACCACAACUAUAGCACCAUAUAGCACAUGUUGCAGGCAAGUCCCUGUCACUCCUGGAUGCUCACUCACUGAUGCUGGCAAGGGUCUCCCCACGGUGCUGGAAAGAUAGCUAGAGCCCCGCCCCCCCCUCCAGUGGAGCGGCAGGUGCAGAGGAAACUUGGAUGUGCUGAAAGAGGUGAGUUGGAAUGUGGCCCGGCCUGAGACCUACCUGCAGAUGCCCCCCCCCACACACACCGUCAACUUUGUGCCCGUCUCGUAUCAAUAAAGAUGGACUGGGUGGCACCGAUUAGUGCCAAGUACUGUGCUGGGCAUGGGGAUGCCCUGAUGCCCCUGACAGGCCUUGGGUGC
Molecule: long non-coding RNA, 542 nt
Organism: Felis catus (domestic cat)
Lineage: Eukaryota; Metazoa; Chordata; Mammalia; Carnivora; Felidae
Exons: 3
Source: RefSeq, a predicted model, not a curated record